RNAcentral lists this ribosomal RNA (484 nucleotides) under uncultured bacterium. Its description in RNAcentral is "partial 16S ribosomal RNA". It matches the Rfam family "Bacterial small subunit ribosomal RNA", at positions 30 to 507 of the family's 1533-position model. The record is from RNAcentral.
AUUGAACGCUGGCGGCAUGCUUUACACAUGCGAGUCGAACGGUAACAGGGAGCUUGCUCCGCUGACGAGUGGCGAACGGGUGAGUAAUAUAUCGGAACGUACCCAAGAGUGGGGGAUAACGUAGCGAAAGUUACGCUAAUACCGCAUACGAUCUAUGGAUGAAAGCAGGGGACCUUCGGGCCUUGUGCUCCUGGAGCGGCCGAUAUCUGAUUAGCUAGUUGGUGAGGUAAAGGCUCACCAAGGCGACGAUCAGUAGCUGGUCUGAGAGGACGACCAGCCACACUGGAACUGAGACACGGUCCAGACUCCUACGGGAGGCAGCAGUGGGGAAUUUUGGACAAUGGGCGCAAGCCUGAUCCAGCAAUGCCGCGUGAGUGAAGAAGGCCUUCGGGUUGUAAAGCUCUUUUGUCAGGGAAGAAACGGCUGUGGCUAAUAUCCACGGCUAAUGACGGUACCUGAAGAAUAAGCACCGGCUAACUACGUG